Molecule: transfer RNA, 72 nt
Filed under: Microcaldota archaeon
Lineage: Archaea; Nanobdellati; Microcaldota
Description: tRNA-Tyr
Rfam family: tRNA
About the family: Transfer RNA (tRNA) molecules are approximately 80 nucleotides in length. Their secondary structure includes four short double-helical elements and three loops (D, anti-codon, and T loops). Further hydrogen bonds mediate the characteristic L-shaped molecular structure. tRNAs have two regions of fundamental functional importance: the anti-codon, which is responsible for specific mRNA codon recognition, and the 3' end, to which the tRNAs corresponding amino acid is attached (by aminoacyl-tRNA synthetases). tRNAs cope with the degeneracy of the genetic code in two manners: having more than one tRNA (with a specific anti-codon) for a particular amino acid; and 'wobble' base-pairing, i.e. permitting non-standard base-pairing at the 3rd anti-codon position.
Source: RNAcentral
CCCGCUGUAGCUCAAUGGUAGAGCACGUGGCUGUAGACCACGGGGUUGCCUGUUCAAAUCAGGCCAGCGGGA